CAGUAGCCGCGGUAAAACAGAGGGUGCAAGCGUUAAUCGGAAUUACUGGGCGUAAAGCGCGCGUAGGUGGUUUGUUAAGUUGGAUGUGAAAUCCCCGGGCUCAACCUGGGAACUGCAUCCAAAACUGGCAAGCUAGAGUAUGGUAGAGGUUGGUGGAAUUUCCUGUGUAGCGGUGAAAUGCGUAGAUAUAGGAAGGAACACCAGUGGCGAAGGCGACCACCUGGACUGAUACUGACACUGAGGUGCGAAAGCGUGGGGAGCAAACAGGAUUAGAUACCCCUGUAGUCCCUGUCUCUUAUAC
Molecule: ribosomal RNA, 301 nt
Filed under: uncultured bacterium
Lineage: Bacteria
Description: partial 16S ribosomal RNA
Rfam family: Bacterial small subunit ribosomal RNA
Source: RNAcentral